RNAcentral lists this ribosomal RNA (259 nucleotides) under uncultured prokaryote. RNAcentral's name for it is "partial 16S ribosomal RNA". It matches the Rfam family "Bacterial small subunit ribosomal RNA", at positions 524 to 782 of the family's 1533-position model. The record is from RNAcentral.
UACGUAGGUGGCAAGCGUUAUCCGGAAUUAUUGGGCGUAAAGAGCGCGCAGGCGGUGACUUAAGUCUGAUGUGAAAGCCCACGGCUCAACCGUGGAAGGUCAUUGGAAACUGGGUCACUUGAAUAUAGAAGAGGAAAGUGGAAUUCCAUAUGUAGCGGUGAAAUGCGUAGAUAUAUGGAGGAACACCAGUGGCGAAGGCGACUUUCUGGUCUAUUAUUGACGCUGAGGCUCGAAAGCAUGGGUAGCAAACAGGAUUAGA